GAGGGUGGAGGAAGGAGCUUGUAAAUGAGCAGCUGGUUUGCAGCAAAACCGCACCUCACUCUGCACCUUUGGAUCCCUCUCAGCCUGAGGUUAGCACAGCCAAUGUCCUCACCAGCGUCUGCCAAAGCCCAUGGAGAAGGCCAGCAGGAGCAUAUCACUGUGACUUACAACCCUUCUCUAGUCUGCUACAAUGGAAUCUUAAACAAGAAAAUUUUAUAUUUUGACUUGCAUCAUUGAGAAAAACACUGCCAACCUGAUCGUGGUUCCUUUGAAGAAUCACUGCAGCAGGUGCGAGAGAGGACUCAUGGAGCUUGCAGAUGAGCUAGCCCAGAUGCAAUUCCAGGAAUGCCAGGAAGCAAACCAAUUCCACCCCAAGAUACAAACAAAGAACAGCACCCUCUCAAAUGAUGCUGCAUGAUAAGUGGCCACAGAGAGCACCGCUGUAAUCAGUCAGAAAGGCAGGAGUGUUACCCGUGAUGCCAGGUGCAGGUGAAAGAAGUUGGAAUUGAAAAGAGCAGCAAAAAAUGUACUGCUUUUUAGUGCAUAAGAUCAUGAAAAUAUUGCACUGUGAGGGGAAAAGGUUGGUUUUCAGAGUUGGACUCUGUUGUCACCAAGAGAAGCACCAAGAAAGGGUGUGGAUAACUUACAGUCUGCUCAUUAUAGUCAUCUUAGCAAAGUAUAUUUUUCAAAUAAUUUUGCAUAAUCUUUCAACAGGCUUAUUCUUGUCAUA
RNAcentral lists this long non-coding RNA (730 nucleotides) under Homo sapiens (human). RNAcentral describes it as "HSALNT0367972". Lineage: Eukaryota; Metazoa; Chordata; Mammalia; Primates; Hominidae. The record is from RNAcentral.